UUUGAGUGAAUCAAAGACUUGCAUCAAAUUAAGAUUAAGAAAAAUUAUCCAAAUCAAGCUUGCACAUUUUUAGAAAAUAUGUUUCAAUUAAUGAAUAACUUUUCUCUCAUUUUUUUUUAAAAAAGUGAAAUGAGUGAGUUCUCAAAUUUAGUUAGGAAAUUGCUUUGAGUUUUAAAAAAAUUCAAGAAAGAUCGACUUUUUCAAGACUAAAGAUUUAGAGUAUUAAAGCUAAGCAUAAGAUAUAUUUAGAAACUCAUUUUUUUUUCGUUUCUUUAAUGAAUAUUGUUGAUGCAAAAAUAUCUCUCGAGGUUAGAUUUGACUGGAGUUGGACGGUGAUGGUAGGUCGGUGACGAUCAGACGACGGCGGCAGGAUUUACAAAAAAAAUCUCUACCCCAAGAUGGUUAUGGUGGAAAUCUUCCGAUGCUCAAGUCAGAAAUUCGAUAACAAAAGAGAAGGAAUGAGCAUAUUAGGAGAGAGGAGAUCGCAUACCCAGAGGAUCCCUCUUGGCC
RNAcentral lists this long non-coding RNA (510 nucleotides) under Elaeis guineensis (African oil palm). RNAcentral describes it as "long non-coding RNA (EGUI_LNC072847)". The record is from RNAcentral. Lineage: Eukaryota; Viridiplantae; Streptophyta; Magnoliopsida; Arecales; Arecaceae.